GAAACCAACAGGGAUUGCCCUAGUAACGGCGAGUGAAGCGGCAACAGCUCAAAUUUGAAAUCUGGCUCUCGGGCCCGAGUUGUAAUUUGUAGAGGAUGCUUUUGGCGAGGUUCCUUCUGAGUUCCCUGGAACGGGACGCCAGAGAGGGUGAGAGCCCCGUACGGUCGGACACCAAGCCUUUGUAAAGCUCCUUCGACGAGUCGAGUAGUUUGGGAAUGCUGCUCAAAAUGGGAGGUAAAUUUCUUCUAAAGCUAAAUACCGGCCAGAGACCGAUAGCGCACAAGUAGAGUGAUCGAAAGAUGAAAAGCACUUUGAAAAGAGGGUUAAAUAGCACGUGAAAUUGUUAAAAGGGAAGCGCUUGUGACCAGACUUGCGCCUGGUAAAUCAUCUAGCGUUCUCGCUAGUGCACUUUGCCGGCUCAGGCCAGCAUCAGUUUGCCGUCGGGGACAAAAGCUUUGGGAACGUGGCUCUCUUCGGGGAGUGUUAUAGCCCGCUGCAUAAUACCCUUCGGCGGACUGAGGUUCGCGCUCCGCAAGGAUGCUGGCAUAAUGGUCAUCAGCGACC
RNAcentral lists this ribosomal RNA (564 nucleotides) under uncultured Sordariomycetidae. Its description in RNAcentral is "eukaryotic LSU rRNA". It matches the Rfam family "Eukaryotic large subunit ribosomal RNA", at positions 61 to 649 of the family's 3401-position model. The record is from RNAcentral. Lineage: Eukaryota; Fungi; Ascomycota; Sordariomycetes.